RNAcentral lists this ribosomal RNA (253 nucleotides) under uncultured bacterium. RNAcentral's name for it is "partial 16S ribosomal RNA". It matches the Rfam family "Bacterial small subunit ribosomal RNA", at positions 524 to 776 of the family's 1533-position model. The record is from RNAcentral.
UACGGAGGGUGCAAGCGUUAUCCGGAUUCACUGGGUUUAAAGGGUGCGUAGGCGGGCAGGUAAGUCAGUGGUGAAAUCUCCGGGCUUAACUCGGAAACUGCCGUUGAUACUAUUUGUCUUGAAUAUUGUGGAGGUGAGCGGAAUAUGUCAUGUAGCGGUGAAAUGCUUAGAUAUGACAUAGAACACCAAUUGCGAAGGCAGCUCGCUACACAAUUAUUGACGCUGAGGCACGAAAGCGUGGGGAUCAAACAGG